Molecule: ribosomal RNA, 253 nt
Filed under: uncultured bacterium
Lineage: Bacteria
Description: partial 16S ribosomal RNA
Rfam family: Bacterial small subunit ribosomal RNA
Source: RNAcentral
UACGUAGGUGGCAAGCGUUGUCCGGAUUUACUGGGCGUAAAGCGCGUGUAGGCGGCCCGGUAAGUCCGCUGUGAAAGUCGGGGGCUCAACCCUCGGAUGCCGGUGGAUACUGUCGGGCUCGAGUACGGAAGAGGCGAGUGGAAUUCCUGGUGUAGCGGUGAAAUGCGCAGAUAUCAGGAGGAACACCAAUUGCGAAGGCAGCUCGCUGGGACGUUACUGACGCUGAGACGCGAAAGCGUGGGGAGCAAACAGG